CGAACGGGUGAGUAAUGCGUGACCAACCUGCCCCAUGCUCCAGAAUAGCUCUUGGAAACGGGUGGUAAUGCUGGAUGCUCCAACUUGACGCAUGUCUUGUUGGGAAAGUGUUUAGUGGCAUGGGAUGGGGUCGCGUCCUAUCAGCUUGUAGGCGGGGUAAUGGCCCACCUAGGCUUCGACGGGUAGCCGGCCUUAGAGGGCGGACGGCCACAUUGGGACUGAGAUACGGCCCAGACUCCUACGGGAGGCAGCAGAC
Molecule: ribosomal RNA, 256 nt
Filed under: uncultured Gardnerella sp.
Lineage: Bacteria; Bacillati; Actinomycetota; Actinomycetes; Bifidobacteriales; Bifidobacteriaceae
Description: partial 16S ribosomal RNA
Rfam family: Bacterial small subunit ribosomal RNA
Source: RNAcentral